ACUACGGGGGGCAGCAGUAGGGAAUCUUCCACAAUGGACGCAAGUCUGAUGGAGCAACGCCGCGUGAGUGAAGAAGGUCUUCGGAUCGUAAAGCUCUGUUGUUGGUGAAGAAGGAUAGAGGUAGUAACUGGCCUUUAUUUGACGGUAAUCAACCAGAAAGUCACGGCUAACUACGUGCCAGCAGCCGCGGUAAUACGUAGGUGGCAAGCGUUGUCCGGAUUUAUUGGGCGUAAAGCGAGCGCAGGCGGAAAAAUAAGUCUGAUGUGAAAGCCCUCGGCUUAACCGAGGAACUGCAUCGGAAACUGUUUUUCUUGAGUGCAGAAGAGGAGAGUGGAACGCCAUGUGUGGCGGUGGAAUGCGUAGAUAUAUGGAAGAACACCAGUGGCGAAGGCGGCUCUCUGGUCUGCAACUGACGCUGAGGCUCGAAAGCAUGGGUAGCGAACAGGAUUAGAUACCCCAGUAGUC
This 465-nucleotide ribosomal RNA is filed under the name uncultured Lactobacillus sp. Its description in RNAcentral is "bacterial SSU rRNA". It matches the Rfam family "Bacterial small subunit ribosomal RNA", at positions 338 to 795 of the family's 1533-position model. Lineage: Bacteria; Bacillati; Bacillota; Bacilli; Lactobacillales; Lactobacillaceae. The record is from RNAcentral.